AGUUCUUUAGUAUAUUUGAGUAUGUUUGAUUUCCAAUCAAGAGGAUAUAAGAAUUA
Molecule: transfer RNA, 56 nt
Filed under: Triodontophorus brevicauda
Lineage: Eukaryota; Metazoa; Nematoda; Chromadorea; Rhabditida; Strongylidae
Description: tRNA-Gly
Source: RNAcentral